GAGGGUGGAGGCGGCUCUUGCGAUCAAAAGGGACUUGAGACUCACCAGCCACACGCCGUGAAGGCCCUGUGGGUGCUGGGCCUCUGCUGCGUCCUGCUGACCUUCGGGUCGGUCAGAGCUGUUGAUGAAGUUGAUGUGGAAGUUACAGUAGAAGAGGAUCUGGGUAAAAGUAGAGAAGGCUCAAGGAUGGAUGAUGAAGUAGUACAGAGAGAGAAAGAAGCUAUUCAGUUGGAUGAAUUAAAUGCAUCACAAAUAAGAGAACUUAGAAGUCGGAAAAGUUUGCCUUCCAAGCUGAAGUUAACAGAAUGAUGAAACUUAUCAUCAAUUCAUUGUAUGACAAUAAAGAGAUUUUCCUUAGAGAACUGAUUCUGACGCUUUAGUUAAGAUAAGGCUGAUAUCACUGACUGACGAAAAUGCUCUUUCUGGAAAUGAGGAACUAACAGUCAAAAUUAAGUGUGAUAAGGUGAAGAACCUGCUGCAUGUCACAGACACUGGUGUAGGAAUGACCAGAGAAGAGUUGGUUAAAAACCUUGGUACCAUAGCCAAAUCUGGGACAAACGAGUUUUUAAACAAAAUGACUGAAGCACAGGAAGAUGGCCAGUCAACUUCUGAAUUGAUUGGCCAGUUUGGUGUCAGUUUCUGUUCCACCUUCCUUGUAGCAGAUAAGGUUAUUGUCACUUCAAAACACAACAACGAUACCCAGUACAUCUGGGAGUCUGACUCCAGUGAAUGUUCUGUAAUUGCUGACCCAAGAGGAAACACUCUGGGACGGGGAACAAUUACCCUUGUCUUAAAAGAAAAAGCAUUUGAUUACCUUGAAUUGGAUACAAUUAAAAAUCUCAUUAAAAAUAUUCACAGUUCAUAAACUUUCCUACUUAUGUACGGAGCAGCAAGACUGAAACUGUUAAGGAGCCCACGAAGGAAGAAGAAACAGCAAAAGAAGAGAAAGGAGAAUCUUAUGAUGAAGCUGCAGUAGAGGAAGAAGAAGAAGAAAAAAGAAACCAAAGACUAAAAAAGUUGAAAAAACUGUCUGUGAAUGGGAACUUAUGAAUGGUAUCAAACCAAUAUGGCAGAGACCAUCCAAAGAAGUAGAAGAUGAAUACAAAGCUUUCUGCAAAUCAUUUUCAAAGGAAAGUGAUGACCCUGUGGCUUAUAUUCACUUUACUGCUGAAGGAGAAUGUUACCUUCAAAUCAAUUUUAUUUGUACCCACAUUUGUUCCAUGUGGCCUAUUUGACGAAUAUGGAUCUAAAAAGAACGAUUACAUUAAGCUCUAUGUGCGCUGUGUAUUCAUCACGGACGACUUCCAUGAUAUGAUGCCUAAGUACCUUAAUUUUGUCGAGGGUAUGGUGGACUCAGAUGGUCUCUCUUUGAAUGUUUCCUGCAAGACUCUUCAGCAACAUAAACUGCUUAAGGUGAUUAGCAAGAAACUUGUUUGUAAAACUCUGGACAUGAUCAAGAUGAGAAAUACAAUGAUACUUUUUGGAAAGAAUUUGGUACCAACAUGAAGCUUGGUGCGAUUGAAGACCACUCGAAUCAAACAUGUCUUGCUAAACCUCUUAGGUUCCAGUCUUCUCAUCAUCCAGCUGACAUUACUAGCCUACACCAGUAUGUGGCAAAAAUGAAGGAAAAACAAGACAAAAUCUACCUCAUGGCUGGGUCCGGCAGAAAAGAGGCUGAAUCUUCUCCAUUUGUUUAGCGACUUCUGAAAAAGGGCUAUGAAGUUAUUUACCUCACAGAACCUGUGGAUAAAUACUGCAUUCAGGCCCUUUCCAGAAUGUUGCCAAUGAAGGAGUGAAGUUUGAUGAAAGUGAGAAAGCUAAGGAGAAUCAUGAAGCAGUUGAGAAAGAAUUUGAGCCUCUACCCAAUUGGGUGAAAGAUAAAGCCCUUAAGGACAAGAUUGAAAAGGCUGUGGUAUCUCAGUGCCUGACAGAAUCUCUGUGUGCUUUGGUGGCCAGCCAGUACAGGUGGUCUGGCAACAUGGAAAGAAUCAUGAAAGCACAAGCACACCAAACGGGCAAGGACAUCUCUACAAAUUACCAUGCUAGUGGGAAGAGAACAUUUGAAAUUCAUCCCAGACAUCCGCUAAUCAGAGACAUGCUUCGACGAAUUAAGGAAGAUGAAGAUGAUAAAACAGUUUUGGAUCUUGCUAUGGCUUUGUUUGAAACAGCAAUGCUUCGGUCAGGAUGUCUUUUACCAGACACUAAAGCAUAUGGAGAUAGAAUAGAAAGAAUGCCUUGCCUCAGUUUGAACAUUGAUCCUGAUGUAAAGGUGGAAGAACCCGAAGAAGAACCUGAGGAGACAACAGAAGGCAAAGAGCAAGACAAAGACAAAGAAAUGGAUGUGGGAACAGAUGAAGAACAAGAAACAGCAAAGGAAUCUACAGCUGAAAAAGAUGAAUUGUAAAUUAUACUCUCACCGUUUGGAUCCUGUGUGGAGAGGGAAUGUGAAAUGUAAGUCAUUUCUUUUGGGAGAGACUUGUUUUGGAUGCCCCCCACCAGUCCCCUUCUCCCCUGCACUGUAAAAUGUGGGAUUGUGGGUUACAGGAAGAAGUGGGGUUUUUAGUUGAUUUUUUUUAAACAUACCUCAUGAAUGUAAAUUUGUACUAUUUAACUGACUAUUCUUGAUGUAAAAUCUUGUCAUGUGUAUAAAAAUAAAAAAGAUUUCCUCCCCACCAAAAGUUAAA
Symphalangus syndactylus (siamang) is the source of this 2684-nucleotide RNA transcript. It is a transcript of the gene named endoplasmin-like, with no coding region annotated. Lineage: Eukaryota; Metazoa; Chordata; Mammalia; Primates; Hylobatidae. The record is from RefSeq and is a predicted model, not a curated record.